Molecule: non-coding RNA, 246 nt
Filed under: Clostridium sp.
Lineage: Bacteria; Bacillati; Bacillota; Clostridia; Eubacteriales; Clostridiaceae
Description: T-box sequence
Rfam family: T-box leader
About the family: Uncharged tRNA acts as the effector for transcription antitermination of genes in the T-box leader family.
Source: RNAcentral
UUAAAUGCUAUGAUGCGGAGGAGUAAUUCGCUGAUUGCCGAAUUAAGAGAGCUGUCGGUUGGUGAAAGACAGUUCGGCACUCGAAUGAAGGUCGCCGCUGAGCAGUUUUGCUGAAACUCUAUGAGCAUUAAGCAAAAACGCACGACAAGCGUUAUUUCGUCAUACAUUUUACGGCUAUCGCCGAGAUGUAAUUUUCAGAGAGUGGUACAACGAAGUUCCAUAUCCUUAUGAGCCUUCGUCUCUUUU